This 325-nucleotide ribosomal RNA is filed under the name uncultured eukaryote. Its description in RNAcentral is "partial 18S ribosomal RNA". It matches the Rfam family "Eukaryotic small subunit ribosomal RNA", at positions 1470 to 1796 of the family's 1831-position model. The record is from RNAcentral.
CCCUUAGAUGUUCUGGGCCGCACGCGCGCUACACUGAUGCAUUCAACGAGCCUAUCCCUGACCGACAGGUCCGGGUAAUCUUUGAAUCUGCAUCGUGACGGGGAUAGAUUAUUGCAAUUAUUAAUCUUCAACGAGGAAUGCCUAGUAGGCGCAAGUCAUCAGCUUGCGUCGAUUACGUCCCUGCCCUUUGUACACACCGCCCGUCGCUCCUACCGAUUGGUUGUGCUGGUGAAAUGUUCGGAUCGGCCGUUUGUCGCGGUUUCCGCGUCAUGUGGCUGAGAAGUUCAUUAAACCCUCCCACCUAGAGGAAGGAGAAGUCGUAACA